AGCGUAGGCGGUUUGGUAAGUCAGAUGUGAAAUCCCGGGGCUCAACCCCGGAACUGCAUCCGAUACUGCCGGACUUGAGUAAUGGAGGGGUAGCUGGAAUUCUCGGUGUAGCAGUGAAAUGCGUGGAUAUCGAGAGGAACACUCGUGGCGAAGGCGAGCUACUGGACAUUUACUGACGCUGAGGCUCGAAGGCCAGGGUAGCGAAAG
Molecule: ribosomal RNA, 207 nt
Filed under: uncultured bacterium
Lineage: Bacteria
Description: partial 16S ribosomal RNA
Rfam family: Bacterial small subunit ribosomal RNA
Source: RNAcentral